GCCAGACUCCUACGGGAGGCAGCAGUGGGGAAUAUUGCACAAUGGGGGGAACCCUGAUGCAGCGACGCCGCGUGGGUGAAGGAGUACUUCGGUACGUAAAGCCCUAUCAGCAGGAAAGAAAAUGACGGUACCUGACUAAGAAGCCCCGGCUAACUACGUGCCAGCAGCCGCGGUAAUACGGAGGAUGCGAGCGUUAUCCGGAUUUAUUGGGUUUAAAGGGUGCGUAGGCGGAUUUUUAAGUCAGCGGUAAAAUGUCCGGGCUCAACCCGGGCCGGCCGUUGAAACUGGGGAUCUUGAGUGGGCGAGAAGUAUGCGGAAUGCGUGGUGUAGCGGUGAAAUGCAUAGAUAUCACGCAGAACUCCGAUUGCGAAGGCAGCAUACCGGCGCCCGACUGACGCUGAGGCACGAAAGCGUGGGGAUCGAACAGGAUUAGAUACCCUUGUAA
RNAcentral lists this ribosomal RNA (445 nucleotides) under uncultured bacterium. RNAcentral describes it as "bacterial SSU rRNA". It matches the Rfam family "Bacterial small subunit ribosomal RNA", at positions 330 to 793 of the family's 1533-position model. The record is from RNAcentral.